UUCCUACGGGAGGCAGCAGUGAGGAAUAUUGGUCAAUGGGCGGAAGCCUGAACCAGCCAAGUCGCGUGAGGGAAGAAGGCCCUGCGGGUCGCAGACCUCUUUUGCCGGGGAGCAAGGGCCGGGACGCGUCCCGGCCCGGAGAGUACCCGGAGAAAAAGCAUCGGCUAACUCCGUGCCAGCAGCCGCGGUAAUACGGAGGAUGCGAGCGUUAUCCGGAUUUAUUGGGUUUAAAGGGUGCGUAGGCGGGCUUUUAAGUCAGCGGUAAAAAUUCGGGGCUCAACCCCGUCCGGCCGUUGAAACUUGGG
This 305-nucleotide ribosomal RNA is filed under the name uncultured bacterium. RNAcentral's name for it is "bacterial SSU rRNA". It matches the Rfam family "Bacterial small subunit ribosomal RNA", at positions 336 to 638 of the family's 1533-position model. The record is from RNAcentral.